RNAcentral lists this ribosomal RNA (468 nucleotides) under uncultured bacterium. RNAcentral describes it as "partial 16S ribosomal RNA". It matches the Rfam family "Bacterial small subunit ribosomal RNA", at positions 28 to 507 of the family's 1533-position model. The record is from RNAcentral.
GACGAACGCUGGCGGCGUGCUUAACACAUGCAAGUCGAACGGAAAGGCCCUGCUUUUGUGGGGUGCUCGUGUGGCGAACGGGUGAGUAACACGUGAGUAACCUGCCCUUGACUUUGGGAUAACUUCAGGAAACUGGGGCUAAUACCGGAUAGGAGCUCCUGCUGCAUGGUGGGGGUUGGAAAGUUUCGGCGGUUGGGGAUGGACUCGCGGCUUAUCAGCUUGUUGGUGGGGUAGUGGCUUACCAAGGCUUUGACGGGUAGCCGGCCUGGGAGGGUGACCGGCCACAUGGGGACUAAGAGACGGCCCAGACGCCUACGGGAGGCAGCAGUGGGGAACAUUGCGCAAUGGGCGGAAGCCUGAGACAGCAACGCCGCGUGCGGGAUGACGUCCUUCGGGUUGUAAACCGCUUUCGCCGGUGACGAAGCGGGAGUGACGGUAAUGGGUAAAGAAGCACCGGCUAACUACGUG